GACGUAGGGCGCGAGCGUUGUCCGGAUUUAUUGGGCGUAAAGAGCUCGUAGGCGGCUUGUCGCGUCGACUGUGAAAACCCGCGGCUCAACUGCGGGCCUGCAGCCGAUACGGGCAGGCUGGAGUUCGGUAGGGGAGACUGGAAUUCCUGGUGUAGCGGUGAAAUGCGCAGAUAUCAGGAGGAACACCGGUGGCGAAGGCGGCUUGCUGGGCCAGUUCUGACGCUGAGGAGCGAAAGCGUGGGGAGCGAACAGG
RNAcentral lists this ribosomal RNA (253 nucleotides) under uncultured bacterium. RNAcentral's name for it is "partial 16S ribosomal RNA". It matches the Rfam family "Bacterial small subunit ribosomal RNA", at positions 524 to 776 of the family's 1533-position model. The record is from RNAcentral.